UAGUUCUCAUUGCCACGACGCCUUCCC
This 27-nucleotide small RNA is filed under the name Bombyx mori (domestic silkworm). RNAcentral describes it as "ovarian small RNA-6497". Lineage: Eukaryota; Metazoa; Arthropoda; Insecta; Lepidoptera; Bombycidae. The record is from RNAcentral.